GCAAACUUGGUCAUUUAGAGGAAGUAAAAGUCGUAACAAGGUUUCCGUAGGUGAACCUGCGGAAGGAUCAUUACCGGGUUUCGCGGGGCCUCCGCCCCGCUCCCCACGCCCUCUGCAAACCCCCCUUCUUCGACCCCGUGGGCAACGGGCAUCGCGGGGGAGGGAAAGGCCUUCGGGCCGCCCCCCUCCCCCUCCGGCCCGCCCGCCAGCGCGAAAACCCUGCCUCAAACCUUCUGCGUUCUGAGCGACACUAUGAAAAUAGCGAAAAACUUUCAACAACGGAUCUCUUGGUUCUGGCAUCGAUGAAGAACGCAGC
RNAcentral lists this unclassified non-coding RNA (316 nucleotides) under uncultured fungus. RNAcentral's name for it is "partial contains small subunit ribosomal RNA, internal transcribed spacer 1, and 5.8S ribosomal RNA". The stretch from base 1 to 73 matches the Rfam family "Eukaryotic small subunit ribosomal RNA", at positions 1759 to 1831 of the family's 1831-position model. Lineage: Eukaryota; Fungi. The record is from RNAcentral.